CUACGUGCCAGCAGCCGCGGUAAUACGUAGGGUGCAAGCGUUAAUCGGAAUUACUGGGCGUAAAGCGCACGCAGGCGGUCUGUCAAGUCGGAUGUGAAAUCCCCGGGCUCAACCUGGGAACUGCAUUCGAAACUGGCAGGCUAGAGUCUUGUAGAGGGGGGUAGAAUUCCAGGUGUAGCGGUGAAAUGCGUAGAGAUCUGGAGGAAUACCGGUGGCGAAGGCGGCCCCCUGGACAAAGACUGACGCUCAGGUGCGAAAGCGUGGGGAGCAAACAGGAUUAGAUACCCUGGUAGUCCACGCCGUAAACGAUGUCGACUUGGAGGUUGUGCCCUUGAGGCGUGGCUUCCGGAGCUAACGCGUUAAGUCGACCGCCUGGGGAGUACGGCCGCAAGGUUAAAACUCAAAUGAAUUGACGGGGGCCCGCACAAGCGGUGGAGCAUGUGGUUUAAUUCGAUGCAACGCGAAGAACCUUACCUACUCUUGACAUCCAGA
This 492-nucleotide ribosomal RNA is filed under the name uncultured bacterium. RNAcentral describes it as "bacterial SSU rRNA". It matches the Rfam family "Bacterial small subunit ribosomal RNA", at positions 501 to 992 of the family's 1533-position model. The record is from RNAcentral.